UUAAUUUUAUUUUAUUUUAUUUUUUGUCUUUUUAGGACUGUACCCACAGCAUAUGGAGGCUCCCAGGCUAGGGGUUGAAUAAGAGCUGUAGCCUCUGGCCCAGGAACUUCCCUGUGCUGUGGGUGUGGCUCCCUUUUCUCCCCCAAAAGUUGAAACAUUUAGACACAGUAUUGAUACAAUGAAAGUUACUGUUAAAUAAAGAUGGAACAUGAAAAUCCAAUUCAAACAAUGACCCAGGAUCCUUUAUACCUUCUUUUUGUAUUUUAUGAAAACAUGAUGUCCUCUUGAACAUAAGGGGAACAUAAAAUCACUUAAAAAUUAAUUUAUUUGACAAAAUUUAAAUAUCAAAGAGGACUGCUCAAAUAUUUUGUUCUAGUAUAAUAUUGAAUGUUGUUAUUAUAACCAGAAUUGCAGGGGAGAAUAAUUGAAUUAUGGGCAAUUGAACUCAUUUUUUGGAUAUAUGUAGUAUAGUAAAAAUUUAACAGUUGAGUACUUCAUACUUUAUAUAUAUGUUCUACACAGACUAUCACAUUUAAUUAUUUCAUUUAUUCAGAGUAAUGGAUGAAGUUUAUUGAAUGCUUAUUCUGUGCCAGCCACCUUGUUGAAAACUUUAUAUGUACUGUCUUAUUAAAUUUUCACAAUAUGCAGCCCAUGAAUUAAAUAGGUUUAUUAUGUCCAUUUUACAGAUGAGGAAAUUGAACCUUGGAGAGUUUUGAAACUUGCCCAUGAUUAUGUGGCUAGCUAGGGAUAGACCUGGAAUUUGAAUGCAGUUCUGUUUUAGUCAAAACCCCAUGCCCUUAACUGAGUUUGGUUUUUGUUUUUGUUUUUGUUUUUGUUUUUUUGUCUUUUUCUUAUGGUCGCACCUGUGGCAUAUGGAGGUUCCUAGGCUAGGGGUCGAAUCAUAGUUGUAGCCACUGCCCUAUGCCACAGCCACAGCAACGCAAGAUCCCAGCUGAGUCUACGACCUACCCCACAGCUCAUGGCAACACCGGAUGCUUGGCCCACUGAGCAAGGCCAGGGAUCGAACCUGCAUUCUCAUGGAUACUAGUCAGAUUCAUUUCCGCUGAGUCACGAUGGGAAUUCAAGAAUGCUUCUCAUAUCAACUGUAAACGAGGAAGAAAUGGUCAUAAUUUUAUAAUAUUUAAUGGAAAUUCUUGAAGUCCUUAGGCAUAAUCAGUUAAUGCUAUCUGAACAAAAUGCUUUACAUGCCACAAAGAAAAACCAACUGAGGUGUUCCCCUUGUGGCACAGUGGAAAUGAAUCUGGCUAGUGUCCAUGAGGAUGUGGGUUCAAUCCCUGGCCUUGCUCAGUGGGUUAAGGAUCCAGUGUUGCCGUGAGCUGUGGUGUAGGUCGCAGGCAUGGCUCAAAUCUGGCAUUGCUGUAGGCCGGUAGCCCUAUUGGACCCCUAGCCUGGGAAGUUACAUGUGCUGCGGGUAUGGCCC
Molecule: long non-coding RNA, 1441 nt
Filed under: Sus scrofa (pig)
Lineage: Eukaryota; Metazoa; Chordata; Mammalia; Artiodactyla; Suidae
Description: lncRNA (ENSSSCG00000054085.1)
Source: RNAcentral